This 472-nucleotide ribosomal RNA is filed under the name uncultured bacterium. RNAcentral describes it as "bacterial SSU rRNA". It matches the Rfam family "Bacterial small subunit ribosomal RNA", at positions 324 to 793 of the family's 1533-position model. The record is from RNAcentral.
GCAGGAGCACUCCUACGGAGGCAGCAGUGGGGAAUAUUGCACAAUGGGCGCAAGCCUGAUGCAGCCAUGCCGCGUGUAUGAAGAAGGCCUUCGGGUUGUAAAGUACUUUCAGCAGUGAGGAAGGUGGGUAUGUUAAUAGCAUACUCAUUUGACGUUAGCUGCAGAAGAAGCACCGGCUAACUCCGUGCCAGCAGCCGCGGUAAUACGGAGGGUGCGAGCGUUAAUCGGAAUUACUGGGCGUAAAGCGCAUGCAGGUGGUUUGUUAAGUCAGAUGUGAAAGCCCGGGGCUCAACCUCGGAAUUGCAUUUGAAACUGGCAAACUAGAGUACUGUAGAGGGGGUAGAAUUUCAGGUGUAGCGGUGAAAUGCGUAGAGAUCUGAAGGAAUACCGGUGGCGAAGGCGGCCCCCUGGACAGAUACUGACACUCAGAUGCGAAAGCGUGGGGAGCAAACAGGAUUAGAUACCCUGGUAG